UCGACCUGAUGGGGAGCAUCCCCCCCCCCCACACUAUCACCAUCCUAUCCAACCAGCCGCCAAGCAUCUACUACUGCUCCCACUGGAUAUGCACUUAUAUAUGAAUAGCGUGCAUACAUCUGCACAACUGCAUAACAGUCACAAAUGAUUGUUUUGUGAAUCUGCAGAGAAUCUAAUUAUCCAUGUACGGCAAUAGCCAGAUUAAUUUGUUUACCCAAAAUUAUCAAGGUGAAUUCCUUGUUCUUGUUUUCUCAAGUCGAUGAUGCAUGCCAAAUAUCCUACCACUUUACAUUCGCUCUCUUUAAAUCAUUCAUCUAUUUGAUCAGGAAGCAUCUUGCUAUGAUCAAUAAAGACGGAAAAACAGUGCACACAAUAGACGAGUGGCGGAGUACAAUGAGCUUCUUUUAUAGUCAUGGAUUAUUCAUGUGUUAAACAAGUUCUGCUCAUCGAUUAGUUAUUAUCAAACCUGUGGAUUAUGUUUUUACUAUAAUUUAUGAUUUAAUUUGUACCUUGCAAACUCGGCAAGUAAAAAUAUCACUUAUUUAAGAGCCGAGAGAGUGUUGUUAAAAUGUGUCUGAUUACCUUUUAAAUGUUUUACAAGAUUCAGCGAUAUAUGAGUAUACUUCCAUGUCUACUUGAUUUCUAUACAGAAUAUGGAACCAGAUGUAGCGAAAUGUUUGCAUACCAUGUCUGGAUUCAACAAGCUAUUUACUGAUGGCUGAUUUUUAAGGAUGUCUUAUGAAGUUGUGAUUCUGCGAGGAAAAGCUCCGGUUCCAUUAUAUAUAUUCACUUUGGAAGGCAAAAAUUAUAUGUUGGCUGGUUGCCCGAGAAAUCAAAAAGGCUAAAUCUUGAGUUGUAUGGAGCAUGGUCAUUUGCUUGAAGUUUCCAAUGGACUGUAUAUACCAUUGAAUGAGAGGAAUUAUUCCAUGAGUGUGGACAAAUUGAGCUGAUCGAUUGAUUGAGAAAAUAUUGUGUGGAUGUUCUCAGAUCUCCUUGCUCCACUACUCCUUGGAUUAUUACCUUUGUCCAUAUAUUUUGGUUUAUCUGAGCUGAAGCAGUGAUAAUAUACUCUAGAUAAAAGGAUGGACACAUAAGCUUGGGACAUGAUUGUGGCCGCUGUACUUCAAGAAGGUGCGGAGCUACGGUGAGCAACAGGUUGCAUCGUCAU
This is a non-coding RNA of Aegilops tauschii subsp. strangulata, 1168 nucleotides long. The record is from RefSeq and is a predicted model, not a curated record. Lineage: Eukaryota; Viridiplantae; Streptophyta; Magnoliopsida; Poales; Poaceae.